RNAcentral lists this transfer RNA (87 nucleotides) under Deinococcus sp. Its description in RNAcentral is "tRNA-Leu". It matches the Rfam family "tRNA". From Rfam's summary of the family: Transfer RNA (tRNA) molecules are approximately 80 nucleotides in length. Their secondary structure includes four short double-helical elements and three loops (D, anti-codon, and T loops). Lineage: Bacteria; Thermotogati; Deinococcota; Deinococci; Deinococcales; Deinococcaceae. The record is from RNAcentral. RNAcentral also lists the same sequence under 3 other names.
GCCGGGAUGGCGGAAUCGGUAGACGCAGCAGACUUAAAAUCUGCCACCCGCAAGGGUGUACGGGUUCAAGUCCCGUUCUCGGCACCA